RNAcentral lists this long non-coding RNA (887 nucleotides) under Coturnix japonica (Japanese quail). Its description in RNAcentral is "lncRNA (ENSCJPG00005004242.1)". Lineage: Eukaryota; Metazoa; Chordata; Aves; Galliformes; Phasianidae. The record is from RNAcentral.
CCAGAUUUUUUUUUCAUCCAUCCAGACCCUGAAUAUGUGCCUGAGUUCCCAAGUUUAAACAUCAUCUUGCCAACUUUAAAACAUUUGGCCGGUCAGCAGAAAAGGAAAAGCUGCUUGUAAAGCACCAGAAUGCGUAUUCAAUUAGUCACUACACUGCUUAAAAGGAGAAGCAUCAGGCACAGCGAGGGGAGGCAGGGGGGUGGCAGUGCUGGCAGAGAGGGACAGCGUGAGACAGUCUGGAUAAGAGGCUUUAUCAGCCCACAACAGCAGUCCUGAAGUUUGAGGCUACUCUUUAACAUAUAAGCUUUUGUUUAACAGCAGGCAGCCGUGGGACAGUGAGGUUUUCCUGGUAAGGAUUAACCUGUGUAAAAGAUGGCUUACAAACUUCUGGGAGGGAAGGAAGGAAGAAACACUGGCCAAUCUGGUUUUGUUGUGUUCCAAGCUGACAACCAGUGUUUCAUCAGCUCCACAAAGAAACAUAUGACAAUGCUCAGACCUGUACCAGGUGAGAAUCACUCUGUGCCACGAUGGUUUUAAGAGAGUGGUGGAGUAUCUGUAACCCUGGCUAUCCCCACCCCCAGAUCGUACCAGCAGUCUCACCAGCAGCAUUCCCUGCUGUCCUUAUCCUUACUGGAGACAAAGCAAAGGUGCUGCUUGGGAGGAUGUAAAAUCUAGAUAUCUGAACUUCAAGCCUUGUUUGCUAAAAUCUGCGGACAGAGCCCCAUACUAUUAUGUCCUGGCAGAUAAAAUGGUCACAAGGUGUUUUGGAACAAGGUCAUCUUUUAUCAAGGGCAGACUGUGCUGCUUUGGUACCAUAGAGACACCAGAAAUGGGAAGCUCUUGUGCAAACAGCAGCUGAGGUCACCCUAAAAGCAACACCUCAAGUU